Molecule: ribosomal RNA, 243 nt
Filed under: uncultured bacterium
Lineage: Bacteria
Description: partial 16S ribosomal RNA
Rfam family: Bacterial small subunit ribosomal RNA
Source: RNAcentral
UGGGUAACCUGCCUCAAAGAGGGGAAUAGCCUCCCGAAAGGGAGAUUAAUACCGCAUAAUAUGUUUAAGUCGCAUGACUUUAACAUCAAAGGAUUUUCUUUUAGAACUUCCACUUUGAGAUGGACCCGCGGCGCAUUAGCUAGUUGGUGAGGCAACGGCUCACCAAGGCAACGAUGCGUAGCCGACCUGAGAGGGUGAUCGGCCACACUGGGACUGAGACACGGUCCAGACCUNUACGGGAGG